CUGAAGACAAUACCUUAACCCAGAAUCAGGAAGUUCAGGAAGAUUUUCUCUGAUCUUCAACUCGGUUCAUCUGAAACGAGCAUCAAUGCUGAACCGGACCUCCUCGUCUCUCCUGGUUCUGAUUCUGUGUUCUGCUGCUCUGGGAAAAUCUCUGCCCACCGUGAAUGAAACUCUGGACGUCUACGAGGCCAAGGAGAAC
This is a long non-coding RNA of Poeciliopsis prolifica (blackstripe livebearer), 199 nucleotides long. RefSeq lists it as uncharacterized. The record is from RefSeq and is a predicted model, not a curated record. The transcript has 3 exons. Lineage: Eukaryota; Metazoa; Chordata; Actinopteri; Cyprinodontiformes; Poeciliidae.